UAUCUACCCUCUCUGUCUCGAAUUACUUGUUGCAGAAAUGGAUGUAUCUAGACGUAUUUUUGGUUCUAGAUACAUCUAUUUCUAUCCAUUUUUGCGACAAGUAAUUUGUGACAAAAGGAGUAUAUU
Molecule: non-coding RNA, 126 nt
Organism: Triticum aestivum (bread wheat)
Lineage: Eukaryota; Viridiplantae; Streptophyta; Magnoliopsida; Poales; Poaceae
Source: Rfam